CAAAGAAGGUAAUAAUCCUGUAGUCGAAAAUGUUGUCUCUCUUGAGUGGAUCCUGAGUACGACGGAGCACGUGAAAUUCCGUCGGAAUCUGGGAGGACCAUCUCCUAAGGCUAAAUACUCUCUAGUGACCGAUAGUGAACCAGUACCGUGAGGGAAAGGUGAAAAGCACCCCGGAAGGGGAGUGAAAUAGAACCUGAAACCGUGUGCUUACAAGUAGUCAGAGCCCGUUAAUGGGUGAUGGCGUGCCUUUUGUAGAAUGAACCGGCGAGUUACGAUUUGAUGCAAGGUUAAGCAGUAAAUGUGGAGCCGUAGCGAAAGCGAGUCUGAAUAGGGCGUUUAGUAUUUGGUCGUAGACCCGAAACCAGGUGAUCUACCCUUGGUCAGGUUGAAGUUCAGGUAACACUGAAUGGAGGACCGAACCGACUUACGUUGAAAAGUGAGCGGAUGAACUGAGGGUAGCGGAGAAAUUCCAAUCGAACCUGGAGAUAGCUGGUUCUCUCCGAAAUAGCUUUAGGGCUAGCCUCAAGUGAUGAUUAUUGGAGGUAGAGCACUGUUUGGACGAGGGGCCCCUCUCGGGUUACCGAAUUCAGACAAACUCCGAAUGCCAAUUAAUUUAACUUGGGAGUCAGAACAUGGGUGAUAAGGUCCGUGUUCGAAAGGGAAACAGCCCAGACCACCAGCUAAGGUCCCAAAAUAUAUGUUAAGUGGAAAAGGAUGUGGCGUUGCCCAGACAACUAGGAUGUUGGCUUAGAAGCAGCCAUCAUUUAAAGAGUGCGUAAUAGCUCACUAGUCGAGUGACACUGCGCCGAAAAUGUACCGGGGCUAAACAUAUUACCGAAGCUGUGGAUUGUCCUUUGGACAAUGGUAGGAGAGCGUUCUAAGGGCGUUGAAGCAUGAUCGUAAGGACAUGUGGAGCGCUUAGAAGUGAGAAUGCCGGUGUGAGUAGCGAAAGACGGGUGAGAAUCCCGUCCACCGAUUGACUAAGGUUUCCAGAGGAAGGCUCGUCCGCUCUGGGUUAGUCGGGUCCUAAGCUGAGGCCGACAGGCGUAGGCGAUGGAUAACAGGUUGAUAUUCCUGUACCACCUAUAAUCGUUUUAAUCGAUGGGGGGACGCAGUAGGAUAGGCGAAGCGUGCGAUUGGAUUGCACGUCUAAGCAGUAAGGCUGAGUAUUAGGCAAAUCCGGUACUCGUUAAGGCUGAGCUGUGAUGGGGAGAAGACAUUGUGUCUUCGAGUCGUUGAUUUCACACUGCCGAGAAAAGCCUCUAGAUAGAAAAUAGGUGCCCGUACCGCAAACCGACACAGGUAGUCAAGAUGAGAAUUCUAAGGUGAGCGAGCGAACUCUCGUUAAGGAACUCGGCAAAAUGACCCCGUAACUUCGGGAGAAGGGGUGCUCUUUAGGGUUAACGCCCAGAAGAGCCGCAGUGAAUAGGCCCAAGCGACUGUUUAUCAAAAACACAGGUCUCUGCUAAACCGUAAGGUGAUGUAUAGGGGCUGACGCCUGCCCGGUGCUGGAAGGUUAAGAGGAGUGGUUAGCUUCUGCGAAGCUACGAAUCGAAGCCCCAGUAAACGGCGGCCGUAACUAUAACGGUCCUAAGGUAGCGAAAUUCCUUGUCGGGUAAGUUCCGACCCGCACGAAAGGCGUAACGAUUUGGGCACUGUCUCAACGAGAGACUCGGUGAAAUCAUAGUACCUGUGAAGAUGCAGGUUACCCGCGACAGGACGGAAAGACCCCGUGGAGCUUUACUGUAGCC
RNAcentral lists this ribosomal RNA (1751 nucleotides) under Staphylococcus aureus. RNAcentral's name for it is "partial 23S ribosomal RNA". It matches the Rfam family "Bacterial large subunit ribosomal RNA", at positions 356 to 2111 of the family's 2925-position model. The record is from RNAcentral. Lineage: Bacteria; Bacillati; Bacillota; Bacilli; Caryophanales; Staphylococcaceae.